Molecule: ribosomal RNA, 481 nt
Filed under: Parapurcellia silvicola
Lineage: Eukaryota; Metazoa; Arthropoda; Arachnida; Opiliones; Pettalidae
Description: partial 16S ribosomal RNA
Source: RNAcentral
UUCUUUUUGAAUUUAUAAUAAGUAACCCCUGCUCCAUGAGUUUAAUUAAAUAGCUGCGGGUUUCCCGUACUAAGGUAGCAUAAUCAAUUGUGGCAUUAAUUGUGGGCUAGAAUGAAUGGGGAAAUUGUUAAUAACUUUAUUCUAAUUUUUUUUUAAAAUUUGAUUUAUAGUAAAAAUACUAUAAUAAUACUUAGGGACAANAAGACCCUAUAAAGCUUUAAUUUUCUUAAAAUUUUUAUAUUUUUAUUUGAAAAUAUUAAUUGGGGCAAUUUUUUAUUNUAAUAUAAAAUUAAUAGAUAAUAAUUAAUUAAAUUAAGAUCCAUUAUUAAUGAAAUAGGAGAAGUUACUUUAGGGAUAACAGCAUAAUUUUUGUCAAGAAGAGCUUAUUUAUGAUAUUGAUUAUGACCUCGAUGUUGGAUUAAUUAAAUUGUAUGGAGAAGAAUCUAUACUAGUAUGACUGUUCGUCAUUUAAUGGAUUACA